CAAUAGCGUAUAUUAAAGUUGUUGCGGUUAAAAAGCUCGUAGUUGGAGUUCUGCCAGGUGCCGCCUGUCCGCCCCAGUGGUGAGUACGUGGCGCGCAUUUGGCCCUUUCAAGGGGAGCGUAUCUGCACUUUAUUGUGUGGUGCGGGAUCCUUGACUUUUACUUUGAGGAAAUAGGAGUGUUCCAAGCAGGCUCUCGUCGUGCACAGCUCAGCAUGGAAUAAUAGCAUUGGACCUCGAUUCUAAGCUGUUGGUUGCCAGAAGCGAGGUAAUGAUGAAGAGGGAUAGUUGGGGGCAUUCGUAUUUAACUGUCAGAGGUGAAAUUCUUGGAUUUGUUAAAGACGGUCUACUGCGAAAGCAUCUGCCAUGGAUGUUUUCAUUGA
RNAcentral lists this ribosomal RNA (380 nucleotides) under uncultured eukaryote. RNAcentral's name for it is "partial 18S ribosomal RNA". It matches the Rfam family "Eukaryotic small subunit ribosomal RNA", at positions 592 to 976 of the family's 1831-position model. The record is from RNAcentral.